RNAcentral lists this transfer RNA (85 nucleotides) under Felis catus (domestic cat). It matches the Rfam family "tRNA". Rfam says of the family: Transfer RNA (tRNA) molecules are approximately 80 nucleotides in length. Their secondary structure includes four short double-helical elements and three loops (D, anti-codon, and T loops). The record is from Rfam by way of RNAcentral. Lineage: Eukaryota; Metazoa; Chordata; Mammalia; Carnivora; Felidae.
GCCUGGGUGGCUCAGUCGGUUAAGCGUCCGACUUUGGCUCAGGUCAUGAUCUCAUGGUUCGUGGGUUCAAGCCCCACAUCAGGCU